This 86-nucleotide ribosomal RNA is filed under the name Escherichia coli. RNAcentral also lists the same sequence under 6 other names. Lineage: Bacteria; Pseudomonadati; Pseudomonadota; Gammaproteobacteria; Enterobacterales; Enterobacteriaceae. The record is from RNAcentral.
GACCCCAUGCCGAACUCAGAAGUGAAACGCCGUAGCGCCGAUGGUAGUGUGGGGUUUCCCCAUGCGAGAGUAGGGAACUGCCAGGC